GUUAGGUUUUCAGAGCUCAGGCUGUGUGUGUGAGAAGAAGCCACUAAGGGCGAAAUGAGAGCUUGAACUGAAGAGAGAAAGGUCUGAUGAAGAACAGUAUGAACUUGGACAGAAACAAGAGAUUUAGAAAGAUUAAGAGAUUUAAGUAUAAGAAAGGGGUAGUUUGAGGGAUUCUUAUCCAAGAACACACUUUGUAUUAUGAAGGAGGAGGGGAAAUCCCCCUCUCUCUCUUAAGAGACACAAAAACGUCCAUACAUAGCUUAUUUAUAAGCUUUACACAUUGCAAACUCAUAAACCCUUAAUCUAAUGGAUAGAAAUGACUGAAUUGAAAUGGAUGGCUAGGAUGGAGUCUGGUGGGUUGCUGAGGACGUGAUGGAUGCUGAUUGGUUGAUUCAAACUGGUCAAAGCAAGGGCUGGCUCCUGAUUGGUUCCCUUAAGGCUCCCAUGAACCUUGUUCACAAAGAUGGCUAGAUACAUGGUCAAGGCUGCUUUUCCUUUACAGCUCAAAGACAGCCUGUCAUUGACCACGCCCUAGCUCUCCCUUAUCCACAAACAGUCACAAGAUAACUCAGGUUUGUCUUCUCUUGCGCCCUAAGUUUGCACAGCUUCAUUUCAGGUUGAUCCGGAACAAGUACGGUCGAUGGUACGGACCGUCUGUCCGUACCUCUCCCUAUUUUUGCACCAACUCCCAAUCUUCUCAAAUGGUUGAGUCUGAACAUGAUCUUGGUCGCCCUAAGUUCGUACGGUCCGUACCGUCCGUACCGAUGCUCGACCCUAUUUCUGCACCAUCACCCAACUGACUCCAAAUGGUGUCUAAGUAUGUCUAAGUCCCUCCUGGACUUGACCCUAACUUUGCACACCUCAUUUGGAUACUUCUGGACACUCCUGAACACUCCUAAAGCCUUGAUAGACAAUCUCCAGAGGUCUUGCCCCAUUCUCGCUCAAGACCCAAACUCAACCCAACUCCUCCUUUGGCUCCAUUUCUUUCUUCAAGUCAACACUCCCCCUCAAGCUUGACUCUAGGUGAUCCUAAGCCAAGCUUGGAACCUUGAAGAACUCCCUCAUUAAAAACCUCACCAAGGAAAACCCUUUGGGACAAAACCUUGAGGAGGGAAAAAGAGUAAAGCCUUCAAGGCCUAGGGAUUGGCCAGUGAGCCUAUGUGCCUUAGUAUCAAUUGGGACAAAACCUUGAGGAGGGAAAAAGAGUAGAGCCUUCAAGGCCUAGGGAUUGGCCAGUGAGCCUAUGUGCCUUAGUAUCACUGAGGUUUAGGCACAUAGGCUCUGGAUCACGGCCUCUUCACUUCACCACACCUUCUUAAACUCUUCUAUAGAACCGGCUUAGUGUCUCCCCCCUUUCACCUGACUUCAUGCCAUCUUGAAAGGCUAGGAACGACCUGAUCCUCUCCAUUGAGUCUCCAAGUAAGGUACCUGAUACAUCAUUCCACAAGUGUAUCAGUUCUCAAGAGAUAAACCUAUCAUGAAUGUAUAUAAAGAGAUUGAUCAGGUUUACUCCCUUGUUUAAAUGUUGAGGAGUGGCUGCUCUUCACACACCACUUGAAUCCCUCACUUGCUGAGCUUAACAGCUCCUUCUCUUAUCAUGCAAGCUCAUCCACACUCCCCCUCAAGCUUGAGACCGAGUAGAGGAAAGGUCCAAGCUUGAUGGUGAGCGCAUGUUAGCUCCAUGAUAAGCCUUGUGGAGAGCACCUCCAUCUCUUUCAGACUUGAUGCUUGAAUCCUCCACUACAUCACCAUUGCACUGAGGAGAUACCUCAGCCCACUCUCCAAGCAUCUCACACUAGCUUGUUGAGUGACUUUCUUCUUCCCUCCACUUCGGCUGGAUCACUCCAUGAUCAGCUUGCAAUGGCCUUGAGUAACACAGGUCAUUGAGCAACAGGAUCAUCAGGUGGCUCACUUUGCUCCCCUCCUCAAGCUUGGAUUGAGUAUGGGUCCAAGCUUGAAGUGAGCCUCAAUGAGCCUUAAGAUCAGGAGCGCAACAUCUCAUAGAGUGCGCUUCAACCACUGAUCAACCCUUCCCUUUAUCUCCAAUGCCUUCUGGUCACCGGUCUCCUCUAGACUUAGGUGAUGACCACUCGCCUUGUGUAUCCACAUACACCCCAGCGACCAUUCCCAAUGGGUAAAGUCUUCCUCUUCUACUCGGAUUGAUGAUGGACAGAGAGCACAUCAUGUGAACCUGAAACAUCACUCAAACUCCAGCAAAGAUAAGACACAAGCAUUGGGAUCAAUCCUUGACUAAUAUCAAGUUUGAUCUCCAAUGUCACAAGCUAUGCAACAGAUUGAAACAAGCAUUAUCAAGUUCACAUCUUUGCAAGCAAUCUCUCUAAGUACAAGCAAGAUCAAAUAAGAUUCAAGACAAGCUACUUAGGCAUUUUAACUUCUGCCUUAACUACACCUUAGACUUGAAUCUAAGUGUAUCAACCUAAGGCAGCAACAAGAUGACAGUAUGCUAUAUAACCUUAAACAGUUUCUAAUUCAUGAGUGCAACAUGAUCAGACAAUACAAUCUAUCACACACUCAUUUAGAACUGUGGCUAAGCAGUAUUAUCAUCAAUCAACAUCAGACAAUGCAAAACCUUAAGUUAUUUCAGUUUAAUGAAAGCUAAUAGGAUUUAGACAGUUUCUAACAUCCUAGCUCAAUCAUAACCAAAUUGGGCAAGCAUUUCAUUUCUCAACAUCAAACAAGACUCAAUAGCAUCCUGGGACUAAACAAGACAAUAUUAUCAAGCAUUUUCAGUCAUUAACCCACGGAUGCAACAUAAAGAACACAACACAACAGCCAGUUUCAAUCACAAGCUCAUAUCAAGAAGGUUUAGGAUUAGCUUACAACCAAGGAACCUGAGCUGGUUCCUUGAGCCUCCUUGGUAACAGGCCACGAAUCUAGUGGAUAAGAGAGCUGGAUCGUCACCCAACACCUUCUCCUUAUGUUCAUAACCUCCUCCUUGACACCACAACACAAAAGGUUCCACCUUUCUUCACAGCUCCAAGUCUCCAACUUCAGGAACAAGAUGAAAGCUUUCUUCUUGAAGGGUUUCAGCUUGGCACAGAGUUGAGACACGCCUUUAAUGGACUGGAGAGAGGAGGAACGACCAGGAGACACCACCAUAGCUUCAAACACCUUCUUUUUGAAGAGAGAGAACAGGCUGGACAUCUUCAAUGGUUUGGAUCUGUGAUGAGGCUAGACUUGUGAUGUAUAUGCGGAAGCUGGAACCAAGUUCUGAUGAACCUGGCUCUGAUACCAUGUUAGGUUUUCAGAGCUCAGGCUGUGUGUGUGAGAAGAAGCCACUAAGGGCGAAAUGAGAGCUUGAACUGAAGAGAGAAAGGUCUGAUGAAGAACAGUAUGAACUUGGACAGAAACAAGAGAUUUAGAAAGAUUAAGAGAUUUAAGUAUAAGAAAGUUGCAAGGAUUAUCAAAGCAUUUACCCACCUACAAGAGAUCCAGGGAGUUACAGUCCUAUCCAGGGCUACACCAGGGUAGUUUGAGGGAUUCUUAUCCAAGAACACACUUUGUAUUAUGAAGGAGGAGGGGAAAUCCCCCUCUCUCUCUUAAGAGACACAAAAACGUCCAUACAUAGCUUAUUUAUAAGCUUUACACAUUGCAAACUCAUAAACCCUUAAUCUAAUGGAUAGAAAUGACUGAAUUGAAAUGGAUGGCUAGGAUGGAGUCUGGUGGGUUGCUGAGGACGUGAUGGAUGCUGAUUGGUUGAUUCAAACUGGUCAAAGCAAGGGCUGGCUCCUGAUUGGUUCCCUUAAGGCUCCCAUGAACCUUGUUCACAAAGAUGGCUAGAUACAUGGUCAAGGCUGCUUUUCCUUUACAGCUCAAAGACAGCCUGUCAUUGACCACGCCCUAGCUCUCCCUUAUCCACAAACAGUCACAAGAUAACUCAGGUUUGUCUUCUCUUGCGCCCUAAGUUUGCACAGCUUCAUUUCAGGUUGAUCCGGAACAAGUACGGUCGAUGGUACGGACCGUCUGUCCGUACCUCUCCCUAUUUUUGCACCAACUCCCAAUCUACUCAAAUGGUUGAGUCUGAACAUGAUCUUGGUCGCCCUAAGUUCGUACGGUCCGUACCGUCCGUACCGAUGCUCGACCCUAUUUCUGCACCAUCACCCAACUGACUCCAAAUGGUGUCUAAGUAUGUCUAAGUCCCUCCUGGACUUGACCCUAACUUUGCACACCUCAUUUGGAUACUUCUGGACACUCCUGAACACUCCUAAAGCCUUGAUAGACAAUCUCCGGAGGUCUUGCCCCAUUCUCGCUCAAGACCCAAACUCAACCCAACUCCUCCUUUGGCUCCAUUUCUUUCUUCAAGUCAACACUCCCCCUCAAGCUUGACUCUAGGUGAUCCUAAGCCAAGCUUGGAACCUUGAAGAACUCCCUCAUUAAAAACCUCACCAAGGAAAAC
RNAcentral lists this long non-coding RNA (4417 nucleotides) under Brassica napus (rape). RNAcentral's name for it is "long non-coding RNA (BNAP_LNC018828)". The record is from RNAcentral. Lineage: Eukaryota; Viridiplantae; Streptophyta; Magnoliopsida; Brassicales; Brassicaceae.